CACCCCGCUGUAGUCUGUAAUGGACUGGCCUGAGGUCUCACUACAAACAAGCGUCUGCUGGAAGAGAGUAGGUGAGUUGUGUUUAGUCUCUUUGCUAAAGAAAUGAGUCAAAGUUAAAAAGAUGUUUGGUGUCUAGUACUAUGUCUGUGACCCUAUAUGUCCUGUUGAUGAAGUUAGGUGCUGUUCUGAGCAUUAUUUGUGGCUAUAGAGUGGCGUUUUGGUUG
Molecule: long non-coding RNA, 224 nt
Filed under: Xyrichtys novacula (pearly razorfish)
Lineage: Eukaryota; Metazoa; Chordata; Actinopteri; Labriformes; Labridae
Source: RNAcentral